UUGUGGACGUUCUGUUACCUGUUGGGUC
RNAcentral lists this non-coding RNA (28 nucleotides) under Homo sapiens (human). The record is from RNAcentral. Lineage: Eukaryota; Metazoa; Chordata; Mammalia; Primates; Hominidae.